CAGCAGCCGCGGGAACACGAACCGUCCGAACGUUAUUCGGAAUCACUGGGCUUAAAGCGCGUGUAGGCGGGCCGCCACGUCGGCUGCUGAAAUCCCCCGGCUCAACCGGGGAACGGGCACCGAUACGAGCGGCCUGGAGGGGGGUAGGGGGGACUGGAACUUCCGGUGGAGCGGUGAAAUGCGUUGAGAUCAGAAGGAACGCCCGUGGCGAAAGCGAGUCCCUGGACCCUUUCUGACGCUGAGACGCGAAAGCCAGGGGAGCGAACGGGAUUAGAUACCCCUGUAGUCCCUGUCUCUUAUU
RNAcentral lists this ribosomal RNA (301 nucleotides) under uncultured bacterium. Its description in RNAcentral is "partial 16S ribosomal RNA". It matches the Rfam family "Bacterial small subunit ribosomal RNA", at positions 509 to 807 of the family's 1533-position model. The record is from RNAcentral.